This is a long non-coding RNA of Lactuca sativa (garden lettuce), 679 nucleotides long. RefSeq lists it as uncharacterized. Lineage: Eukaryota; Viridiplantae; Streptophyta; Magnoliopsida; Asterales; Asteraceae. The record is from RefSeq and is a predicted model, not a curated record.
UAAUUAUCUCCUAGGGUACGAAAAACGACUAUGAGAAAGCCUGGUCACCAUUUACUCUCCUUCGGACGAUCACCACCGGAGAAAAAUUAUCGCCGCUUGUCCUCUCGCAUUUGUUUCGUUUCAGUAGACGACCUAUGUGGUGGCUUUUGAGAGUUAUAAAGAGAACACAUCAAUUCUAAUUGUAUGGAAGCUCACUGAGUACAAUCAUGCCGGUGUAUUGGAACGUGAGCUAGUGAGCAUUAUGUAAUGAAUUGGAUCUUUGACUUUGUGUUGAACAGACAACAUGGAUUUCCGAGUAGAUUUGGUACCCUUUGGAAUGACAAAAUUGCAUUUGAGGAAAAGGUGUUGGUUACAACUGUUGCUACAUGGGCCAGAGAGUUUCUGAAAAUUUUUAUGAAUGAUGUGGUUGUCUAAAAGUGCAUAUAAGUGAGAAUGAAGGAUACUUCUUGUGUUUUGCUUUUAAGUGAGGUUGGAGGAUAGCUGCAACACUUGAUUAUUGGAUAAUACUUCUGCAUGGGAAAACAAUUUUAUUUUUGAAUUUAUUUAUGUAAGUUUUAUGUACUAUGAAAUGACCAAAUCAAUGAGUUUUUAGCAACACUUAAGCUUGUUUUUAUCGAUGACUAUAAUGAUUGGUUAUUUAGCAUAUUUAUAUUAAUAUAAUUUGUUCAUCAAUGCAUAA